UUAGCUGUAAUUGGUACACAAAAUGGAAAGAAGACACAGGAAGUGAUGAAAAUGAAAGGUCUUUAAAAAUGCCAAGAACUUCCUGUGAAGGGGCUUUGAGGUCUUUUGUCUUCAAUUUUACUUUGGAGGAGCUCUGACUAAGAACCUUGGACUGCUUCUACUUUCCUUAAAACUACCAUGUGAGGUUUGUUUUGGUGAGCACCUGACAUACCAAGGCCAAAGAAUGAACAAGUUUAUUCACAGGUCAGUGAGG
This 253-nucleotide long non-coding RNA is filed under the name Monodelphis domestica (gray short-tailed opossum). RNAcentral describes it as "lncRNA (ENSMODG00000050771.1)". Lineage: Eukaryota; Metazoa; Chordata; Mammalia; Didelphimorphia; Didelphidae. The record is from RNAcentral.